UAAGGAAUAUUGGUCAAUGGACGCAAGUCUGAACCAGCCAUGCCGCGUGGAGGAUGAAGGUCCUCUGGAUUGUAAACUUCUUUUAUCUGGGACGAAACACUUCUUUUCUAAGAGGCCUGACGGUACCAGAUGAAUAAGCACCGGCUAACUCCCUGCCAGCAGCCGCGGUAAUACGGAGGGUGCAAGCGUUAUCCGGAUUCACUGGGUUUAAAGGGUGCGUAGGUGGGUAUGUAAGUCAGUGGUGAAAUCCCCGAGCUUAACUUGGGAACUGCCAUUGAUACUAUAUAUCUUGAAUACCGUAGAGGUAAGCGGAAUAUGUCAUGUAGCGGUGAAAUGCUUAGAUAUGACAUGGAACACCAAUUGCGAAGGCAGCUUACUAUGCGGUGAUUGACACUGAGGCACGAAAGCGUGGGUAGCAAACA
RNAcentral lists this ribosomal RNA (422 nucleotides) under uncultured bacterium. RNAcentral describes it as "bacterial SSU rRNA". It matches the Rfam family "Bacterial small subunit ribosomal RNA", at positions 355 to 774 of the family's 1533-position model. The record is from RNAcentral.